RNAcentral lists this ribosomal RNA (846 nucleotides) under uncultured bacterium. RNAcentral's name for it is "bacterial SSU rRNA". It matches the Rfam family "Bacterial small subunit ribosomal RNA", at positions 44 to 917 of the family's 1533-position model. The record is from RNAcentral.
GUGCUAAGAAUGCAAGUCGAACGGGGACUUCGGUCCUAGUGGCGAACGGUCGCGUAACACGUAAGCAACCUGCCCUGAAGUGGGGGACAACAUCCCGAAAGGGGUGCUAAUACCGCAUGUGGUCACGAGUCGGCAUCGACUUGUGUCUAAAGAUUUAUCGCUUCAGGAUGGGCUUGCGGCCUAUCAGGUAGUUGGUGGGGUAAUGGCCUACCAAGCCGACGACGGGUAGCUGGUCUGAGAGGACGAUCAGCCGGAUUGGGACUGAGAUACGGCCCAGACUCCUACGGGGGGCAGCAAUUAGGAAUCUUGCGCAAUGGGGGAAACCCUGACGCAGCGACGUCGCGUGAAGGAUGAAGGCCCUCGGGUCGUAAACUUCUUUUGAGUGGGAAGAAAUUUGACGGUACCACUCGAAUAAGCCCCGGCUAACUACGUGCCAGCAGCCGCGGUAAUACGUAGGGGGCGAGCGUUGUCCGAAGUUACUGGGCGUAAAGCGCGCGUAGGCGGUUAUUCAAGUCUGGGGUGAAAGGUUCAGCGCUCAACGUGAACAGUGCCUUGGAUACUGGAUGACUUGAGUCUGGGAGGGGGAAGGGGAAUUCCUGGUGUAGCGGUGAAAUGCGUAGAUAUCAGGAGGAACACCGGUGGCGAAGGCGCCUUCCUGGCCUAAGACUGACGCUGAGGUGCGAAAGCGUGGGGAGCAAACGGGAUUAGAUACCCCGGUAGUCCACGCCGUAAACGAUGAGUGCUAGGUGUCGGGGGUAUCGACCCCCCNCGGUGCCGUCGCUAACGCAUUAAGCACUCCGCCUGGGGAGUACGGCCGCAAGGUUGAAACUCAAAUGAAUUGACGGA